Molecule: small nucleolar RNA, 123 nt
Filed under: Mus caroli (Ryukyu mouse)
Lineage: Eukaryota; Metazoa; Chordata; Mammalia; Rodentia; Muridae
Description: predicted gene, 24850 (MGP_CAROLIEiJ_G0035849.1)
Rfam family: Small nucleolar RNA SNORA17
About the family: snoRNA ACA 17 belongs to the H/ACA family of snoRNAs and is predicted to guide pseudouridylation of the 28S rRNA at positions U4659 and U4598. It shares the same host gene together with ACA43.
Source: RNAcentral
CCUGUUCCUAGAAGCAUUGCAAAUGACAUGUGAGUUAGUAGGUGGCAGAGAGGAGCAAGGCUAUGUCUAUGUUUGGUGUUCUGACCUAUGAACAUAUGAAUGAAUGAUCAGGAGCCUAAUAUU